CAAUAGCUAAAUAAGAGCGUAUGGGGAAUGCCUAGGCUCUCAGAGGCGAUGAAGGACGUGAUAAGCUGCGAAAAGCUGCGGGGAUUGGCACAUACAAAUUGAUCCGUAGAUAUCCGAAUGGGGCAACCCACUAUAUUGAAGAUAUAGUAUGUCGUAAGACAAGCAAACCCAGAGAACUGAAACAUCUAAGUACCUGGAGGAGAAGAAAACAAAAGUGAUUCCGUUAGUAGUGGCGAGCGAACGCGGAUUAGCCCAAACCAGUAUUGUUACGGCAAUAUUGGGGUUGUAGGACCAAGACAUUUAAUGUUUAAUGAAUUAGAAUACUUUGGAAAAAGUAACCAUAGAGGGUGAUAGUCCCGUAUAGGUAAGUUGAAUUAUUAAUAUUGGUAUCCUGAGUAGCGCGGGGCACGUGUAACCCUGUGUGAAUCUGUCGGGACCAUCCGAUAAGCUAAAUACU
Molecule: ribosomal RNA, 457 nt
Filed under: uncultured Flavobacteriaceae bacterium
Lineage: Bacteria; Pseudomonadati; Bacteroidota; Flavobacteriia; Flavobacteriales; Flavobacteriaceae
Description: bacterial LSU rRNA
Rfam family: Bacterial large subunit ribosomal RNA
Source: RNAcentral